This is a long non-coding RNA of Aplysia californica (California sea hare), 298 nucleotides long. RefSeq lists it as uncharacterized. NCBI's taxonomy places the organism in Eukaryota, Metazoa, Mollusca, Gastropoda, Aplysiida, Aplysiidae. The transcript is spliced from 3 exons. The record is from RefSeq and is a predicted model, not a curated record.
AGACGUGAAAGACCCCAGUGACGAGGACAGCCUGUGUAAGAUCUGCACAGAGACAAACUGGCGUUUUGGCCUGAGGAACUUUGCGCUUCCGAACAACGCGACCGCUUACAUCGCCUGUGAUUACAUCGACAUGUGUUCAGUGAGGAACUGUGGCGGCGACAGUCUCUGGGGACAGGACCAACAAUCGUGCUACGUUCCUGUCAUUCCACCCAUUGACCUGCUGAUGUCAUCAGCUCUGUACCCGUGUGGUCGUCCACAGACAGUCAAGAUUCUUCCCUUUUAUAAGGCUUCUGCAAUU